UUACCGAGUGAGGCCCUCUGGGUUCCACCUCCCACCCGUGUUUAUUUUACUUGUUGCUUCGGCGGGCCCGCCUUAACUGGCCGCCGGGGGGCUUACGCCCCCGGGCCCGCGCCCGCCGAAGACACCCUCGAACUCUGUCUGAAGAUUGUAGUCUGAGUGAAAAUAUAAAUUAUUUAAAACUUUCAACAACGGAUCUCUUGGUUCCGGCAUCGAUGAAGAACGCAGCGAAAUGCGAUACGUAAUGUGAAUUGCAAAUUCAGUGAAUCAUCGAGUCUUUGAACGCACAUUGCGCCCCCUGGUAUUCCGGGGGGCAUGCCUGUCCGAGCGUCAUUGCUGCCCUCAAGCACGGCUUGUGUGUUGGGCCCCGUCCUCCGAUCCCGGGGGACGGGCCCGAAAGGCAGCGGCGGCACCGCGUCCGGUCCUCGAGCGUAUGGGGCUUUGUCACCCGCUCUGUAGGCCCGGCCGGCGCUUGCCGAUCAACCCAAAUUUUUAUCCAGGUUGACCUCGGAUCAGGUAGGGAUACCCGCUGAACUUAAGCAUAUCAAUAAGCGGAGGAA
Molecule: ribosomal RNA, 557 nt
Filed under: Penicillium sp. BMP2941
Lineage: Eukaryota; Fungi; Ascomycota; Eurotiomycetes; Eurotiales; Aspergillaceae
Description: eukaryotic LSU rRNA
Rfam family: 5.8S ribosomal RNA (bases 178-330)
Source: RNAcentral